AUGAACGCUAGCGGCAGGCUUAACACAUGCAAGUCGAGGGGCAGCGAGAUGUAGCAAUACAUUGUCGGCGACCGGCGCACGGGUGCGUAACGCGUAUGCAACUACCAUAUACAGGAGGAUAACCAUUCGAAAGAAUGACUAAUACUCAUAGUAUUAUUUUGAGGCAUCUUAGAAUAAUUAAAGAAUUUCGGUAUAUGCUGGGCAUGCGUGACAUUAGCUAGUUGGAGAGGUAACGGCUCACCAAGGCUACGAUGUCUAGGGGUUUUGAGAGGAAGAUCCCCACACUGGUACUGAGACACGGACCAGACUCCUACGGGAGGCAGCAGUGAGGAAUAUUGGUCAAUGGACGGAAGUCUGAACCAGCCAUGCCGCGUGAAGGAAAGACUGCCCUAUGGGUUGUAAACUUCUUUUAUACGGGGAUAAACCUAUCUUUGCGAAGAUAGCUGAAGGUACCGUAUGAAUAAGCAUCGGCUAACUCCGUGCCAGCAGCUGC
Molecule: ribosomal RNA, 493 nt
Filed under: uncultured bacterium
Lineage: Bacteria
Description: bacterial SSU rRNA
Rfam family: Bacterial small subunit ribosomal RNA
Source: RNAcentral